RNAcentral lists this unclassified non-coding RNA (391 nucleotides) under uncultured fungus. Its description in RNAcentral is "partial contains 5.8S ribosomal RNA and internal transcribed spacer 2". The stretch from base 1 to 134 matches the Rfam family "5.8S ribosomal RNA", at positions 22 to 154 of the family's 154-position model. Lineage: Eukaryota; Fungi. The record is from RNAcentral.
UGGCUCUCGCAUCGAUGAAGAACGCAGCGAAAUGCGAUAAGUAAUGUGAAUUGCAGAAUUCAGUGAAUCAUCGAAUCUUUGAACGCACCUUGCGCCCUUUGGCUAUUCCGAAGGGCAUGCCUGUUUGAGUAUCAUGAAUACCUCAACUCUCACGGCUUGCCGUGACGAGCUUGGACUUUGGAGGUCUUGCCGGCCCGAUGGCUGGCUCCUCUCAAACGCAUUAGCUUCCCAGUGUUUGGCGGCAUCACUCGCGUGAUAAAUAUCUACGCCCGUGGUCCCCCGUCAGGUAACCCCCCCACAGCGGAGGGUCGCUGGAGCUCACAGACGUCCUGCCCUUGGGCGGACAGCCUCAUGAAUGUUUGAUCUCAAAUCAGGUAGGACUACCCGCUGA